GACGAACGCUGGCGGCGUGCUUAACACAUGCAAGUCGAACGGAAAGGCCCUGCUUUUGUGGGGUGCUCGAGUGGCGAACGGGUGAGUAACACGUGAGUAACCUGCCCUUGACUUUGGGAUAACUUCAGGAAACUGGGGCUAAUACCGGAUAGGAGCUCCUGCUGCAUGGUGGGGGUUGGAAAGUUUCGGCGGUUGGGGAUGGACUCGCGGCUUAUCAGCUUGUUGGUGGGGUAGUGGCUUACCAAGGCUUUGACGGGUAGCCGGCCUGAGAGGGUGACCGGCCACAUUGGGACUGAGCUACGGCCCAGACUCCUACGGGAGGCAGCAGUGGGGAAUAGUGCACAAUGGGCGGAAGCCUGAUGCAGCAACGCCGCGUGCGGGAUGACGGCCUUCGGGUUGUAAACCGCUUUCGCCUGUGACGAAGCGUGAGUGACGGUAAUGGGUAAAGAAGCACCGGCUAACUACGUG
RNAcentral lists this ribosomal RNA (468 nucleotides) under uncultured bacterium. RNAcentral describes it as "partial 16S ribosomal RNA". It matches the Rfam family "Bacterial small subunit ribosomal RNA", at positions 28 to 507 of the family's 1533-position model. The record is from RNAcentral.